AAUCACACUUAUUUCCAGGAAAGAGUUAGCAGUAUUGAUAUAGUCCAGGGACUCCUAGAAACACCUGUUGUGUUGCUUUGGUGAGCAGAUGCUGUUCAUCUUCCAUGGCACCUGUAUUUUAUCUGCAUGGAGAUGAGCUCAGCCAGAGUACUUCUCAGAGAGGAUACCACGUGGAUGCAAAUAAGAGCAGAGAAAGCACCGAGUAGUUACAAUGGUCCUUGUUGGGUGUUUGGAGAAGCUAAUUAUUUGAGAGAGAAACAAGCCUAGGAAAGACUUUUGGGAUUAGGUGAAAAGUGUACCCUUGCAGGGAGCAAGAAGCCAUGCCAUGCCCAGGCUUUCGAUCGCUCCACCACAGGAUAUCAUUGUCCACAGGCCUUAACUUUAGUUCUUGAUUUUUCCAACCUCUCUUUAAAGUUUAUUCUUAUUUUCCAAA
RNAcentral lists this long non-coding RNA (433 nucleotides) under Pan troglodytes (chimpanzee). Its description in RNAcentral is "lincRNA". Lineage: Eukaryota; Metazoa; Chordata; Mammalia; Primates; Hominidae. The record is from RNAcentral.